Molecule: transfer RNA, 73 nt
Filed under: Tupanvirus deep ocean
Lineage: Varidnaviria; Bamfordvirae; Nucleocytoviricota; Megaviricetes; Imitervirales; Mimiviridae
Also listed under: 1 other name
Description: tRNA-Asn
Rfam family: tRNA
About the family: Transfer RNA (tRNA) molecules are approximately 80 nucleotides in length. Their secondary structure includes four short double-helical elements and three loops (D, anti-codon, and T loops).
Source: RNAcentral
GCCUUCGUAGUUCAAUGGUAGAACAUUCGGCUGUUAACCGAAGAAUGCUAGGUUCGAUUCCUACCGAAGGCGC